GUGGGAAACGAUGUGGGAAGGCUCAGACAGCCAGGAUGUUGGCUUAGAAGCAGCCAUCAUUUAAAGAAAGCGUAAUAGCUCACUGGUCGAGUCGGCCUGCGCGGAAGAUGUAACGGGGCUAAACCAUGCACCGAAGCUGCGGCAGCGAACGUAUCACUUAAAACGAUUUAGAGGGUUAACGAUUGACGGAGCGAAGCGACGUCAAAGCGUUUUACAAAGUCGAGUCGGUUUAAGGAUACGUUCGUUGGGUAGGGGAGCGUUCUGUAAGCCUGUGAAGGUGUAUCGUGAGGUAUGCUGGAGGUAUCAGAAGUGCGAAUGCUGACAUAAGUAACGAUAAAGCGGGUGAAAAGCCCGCUCGCCGGAAGACCAAGGGUUCCUGUCCAACGUUAAU
This 391-nucleotide ribosomal RNA is filed under the name Citrobacter amalonaticus. RNAcentral's name for it is "partial 23S ribosomal RNA". It matches the Rfam family "Bacterial large subunit ribosomal RNA", at positions 1063 to 1369 of the family's 2925-position model. Lineage: Bacteria; Pseudomonadati; Pseudomonadota; Gammaproteobacteria; Enterobacterales; Enterobacteriaceae. RNAcentral also lists the same sequence under 1 other name. The record is from RNAcentral.